This 439-nucleotide ribosomal RNA is filed under the name uncultured bacterium. Its description in RNAcentral is "partial 16S ribosomal RNA". It matches the Rfam family "Bacterial small subunit ribosomal RNA", at positions 339 to 795 of the family's 1533-position model. The record is from RNAcentral.
CUACGGGUUGCACCAGUGGGGAAUAUUGCACAAUGGACGAAAGUCUGAUGCAGCAACGCCGCGUGGAGGAUGACACAUUUCGGUGCGUAAACUCCUUUUAUAUAGGAAGAUAAUGACGGUACUAUAUGAAUAAGCACCGGCUAACUCCGUGCCAGCAGCCGCGGUAAUACGGAGGGUGCAAGCGUUACUCGGAAUCACUGGGCGUAAAGAGCGUGUAGGCGGGUAAAUAAGUCAGAAGUGAAAUCCAAUAGCUCAACUAUUGAACUGCUUUUGAAACUGUAUACCUAGAAUGUGGGAGAGGCAGAUGGAAUUUCUGGUGUAGGGGUAAAAUCCGUAGAGAUCAGAAGGAAUACCGAUUGCGAAGGCGAUCUACUGGAACUUAAUUGACGCUGAGACGCGAAAGCGUGGGGAGCAAACAGGAUUAGAUACCCGGGUAGUC